This 496-nucleotide ribosomal RNA is filed under the name uncultured bacterium. RNAcentral describes it as "partial 16S ribosomal RNA". It matches the Rfam family "Bacterial small subunit ribosomal RNA", at positions 28 to 506 of the family's 1533-position model. The record is from RNAcentral.
GAUGAACGCUGGCGGCGUGCCUAAUACAUGCCAGUCGAGCGAACAGAUGAGGAGCUUGCUCCUCUGACGUUAGCGGCGGACGGGUGAGUAACACGUGGAUAACCUACCUAUAAGACUGGGAUAACUUCGGGAAACCGGAGCUAAUACCGGAUAAUAUAUUGAACCGCAUGGUUCAAUAGUGAAAGACGGUUUUGCUGUCACUUAUAGAUGGAUCCGCGCCGCAUUAGCUAGUUGGUAAGGUAACGGCUUACCAAGGCAACGAUGCGUAGCCGACCUGAGAGGGUGAUCGGCCACACUGGAACUGGGACACGGUCCAGACCCCUACGGGAGGCAGCAGUAGGGAAUCUUCCGCAAUGGGCGAAAGCCUGACGGAGCAACGCCGCGUGAGUGAUGAAGGUCUUCGGAUCGUAAAACUCUGUUAUUAGGGAAGAACAAAUGUGUAAGUAACUAUGCACGUCUGGACGGUACCUAAGCAGAAAGCCACGGCUAACUACGG